GAUGAACGCUGGCGGCGUGCCUAAUACAUGCAAGUCGAGCGAACAGACGAGGAGCUUGCUCCUCUGACGUUAGCGGCGGACGGGUGAGUAACACGUGGAUAACCUACCUAUAAGACUGGGAUAACUUCGGGAAACCGGAGCUAAUACCGGAUAAUAUAUUGAACCGCAUGGUUCAAUAGUGAAAGACGGUUUUGCUGUCACUUAUAGAUGGAUCCGCGCCGCAUUAGCUAGUUGGUAAGGUAACGGCUUAACAAGGCGACGAUGCGUAGCCGACCUGAGAGGGGGAUAGGCCACACUGGAACUGAGACACGGUCAAGAAUCCUACGGGAGGCAGCAGUAGGGAAUCUUCCGCAAUGGGCGAAAGCCUGACGGAGAAACGCCGCGUGAGUGAUGAAGGUCUUCGGAUCGUAAAACUCUGUUAUUAGGGAAGAACAAAUGUGUAAGUAACUAUGAACGUCUUGAAGGUACAUAAUCAGAAAGCCACGGCUAACUACGUG
This 497-nucleotide ribosomal RNA is filed under the name uncultured bacterium. RNAcentral describes it as "partial 16S ribosomal RNA". It matches the Rfam family "Bacterial small subunit ribosomal RNA", at positions 28 to 507 of the family's 1533-position model. The record is from RNAcentral.